Molecule: ribosomal RNA, 534 nt
Filed under: uncultured archaeon
Lineage: Archaea
Description: bacterial SSU rRNA
Rfam family: Archaeal small subunit ribosomal RNA
Source: RNAcentral
ACGGGGUGCAGCAGGCGCGAAACCUCCGCAAUGUGAGAAAUCGCGACGGGGGGAUCCCAAGUGCCAUUCUUAACGGGAUGGCUUUUCAUUAGUGUAAAGAGCUUUUGGAAUAAGAGCUGGGCAAGACCGGUGCCAGCCGCCGCGGUAACACCGGCAGCUCUAGUGGUAGCAAUUUUUAUUGGGCCUAAAGCGUCCGUAGCCGGUUUAAUAAGUCUCUGGUGAAAUCCUGCAGCUUAACUGUGGGAAUUGCUGGAGAUACUAUUAGACUUGAGACCGGGAGAGGUUAGAGGUACUCCCAGGGUAGAGGUGAAAUUCUGUAAUCCUGGGAGGACCGCCUGUUGCGAAGGCGUCUAACUGGAACGGUUCUGACGGUGAGGGACGAAAGUUAGGGGCGCGAACCGGAUUAGAUACCCGGGUAGUCCUAACUGUAAACGAUGCGGACUUGGUGUUGGGGUGGCUUUGAGCUGCUUCAGUGCCGAAGGGAAGCUGUUAAGUCCGCCGCCUGGGAAGUACGGUCGCAAGACUGAAACUUAA